GACGAACGCUGGCGGCGUGCCUAACACAUGCAAGUCGAACGGUGGAGCGCGUUGCUUUUUGGUGGGAGUGGAUGAGCGGCGAACGGGUGAGUAACACGUGAGUAACCUGCCACCUUCUUCUGGAUAACCGCAUGAAAGUGUGGCUACUACGGGAUAUUCUGGAUCUGUCGCAUGAUGGGUCUGGGAAGGUUUUUGUGUCGGUGGUGGAUGGGCUCGCGGCCUAUCAGCUUGUUGGUGAGGUGAUGGCCUACCAAGGCGGUGACGGGUAGCCGGCCUGAGAGGAUGGACGGUCACACAGCGACUGAGACAUGGCGCAGACUCCUGCGGGAAGCAGCAGGGGGGAAUACUGCACAGUGGAAGGAAGGCUGGUGCAGCGACGCCGGGUGGAGGAUGGACGUCUGCGCGUUGUGAUCCGCUUUCGCGAGAGAAGCAAUGCGGCAUCGUUUGUGCGUGGGUUGACGGUAGCUGGACAGGAAGCGCCGGCUAACUACGUG
RNAcentral lists this ribosomal RNA (494 nucleotides) under uncultured bacterium. Its description in RNAcentral is "partial 16S ribosomal RNA". It matches the Rfam family "Bacterial small subunit ribosomal RNA", at positions 28 to 507 of the family's 1533-position model. The record is from RNAcentral.